CAUAGCACUCCCACACACAUGGAGCUCUCCUGCAGUAUGCAGUGUAAUGCCCCAAACCAUCACUGGUCAUCUUUCCAUGGAAAGCAAUUAAUGCCCUCAAAGUGAACGACUUUCCUUGGAGAACCAGGUUGGAGGGAAAUUCAUUCAGUGGAAAUUCUGUAUGGUUUGCAAGAGAUGGAUUGGAGAGUGGCCUGAGGCAGGUAGACUCAGGUAGGCCAAGUCCUGCUUCCACAGCCGUGCCAAGAUGAGCCAUACCAGACUCUUUGAGGACAGAGAUGGCAGGAGAAACAAAUGGCACUUCCCUUGUCAUCCCUUUGCUGAGGUAG
This is a long non-coding RNA of Astatotilapia calliptera (eastern happy), 326 nucleotides long. The record is from Ensembl. NCBI's taxonomy places the organism in Eukaryota, Metazoa, Chordata, Actinopteri, Cichliformes, Cichlidae.